UGGGGAAUUUUGCACAAUGGGGGAAACCCUGAUGCAGCGACGCCGCGUGAUUUAGAAGGCCUUCGGGUUGUAAAAAUCUUUUGUAUGGGAAGAAAAUGACAGUACCAUACGAAUAAGGACCGGCUAAUUACGUGCCAGCAGCCGCGGUAAUACGUAAGGUCCGAGCGUUGUCCGGAAUCAUUGGGCGUAAAGGGUACGUAGGCGGAUAAGCAAGUUAGAAGUGAAAUCCUAUAGCUCAACUAUAGUAAGCUUUUAAAACUGCUCAUCUUGAGGUAUGGAAGGGAAAGUGGAAUUCCUAGUGUAGCGGGGAAAUGCGCAGAUAUUAGGAGGAAUACCGGUGGCGAAGGCGACUUUCUGGCCAUAUACUGACGCUGAGGUACGAAAGCGUGGGUAGCAAACAGG
This 402-nucleotide ribosomal RNA is filed under the name Verrucomicrobiota bacterium. Its description in RNAcentral is "Verrucomicrobia bacterium partial 16S ribosomal RNA". It matches the Rfam family "Bacterial small subunit ribosomal RNA", at positions 355 to 776 of the family's 1533-position model. Lineage: Bacteria; Pseudomonadati; Verrucomicrobiota. The record is from RNAcentral.